UCAGAGACGGAGACAGCGAGUGGGUAGAUGGGGAGUAGCGGAUAGAAGCUGUGCUUGUGAGUCGGCAAUGCAAAGUAGCUCUGAUUAGAAUGAGGAAAGGGGAGGUUCCCAACCUGGGAUGCCCGCAAUCCCAGGGGGCUGCAAGAUGGCAUUUCAAGGGAUAUGACAAACAGGAAGGCUGAGUUGCGAUUUACCAGAAUUGAGUGAGGCACUUGUGGAGGAUCUUUCACAGAAGUAUUUACCCUCUGAAAUGAAGAAAUGGCUAAAGGACCAGACUGUAGGAUGAGAGAAUUUGAUAGUUGGCGGCAAGAAGGUCUAGUUUAUAUAUUUGGACUCCAACUGCAUAUUAUGAAGCACAGACCACACUGCUUUUUUUUUCUUUAAUAAAAUGUAUACCUCAGUGGAUGAGAGACCUCCAAAGAACCUCUGGAAAGAAGACACCAGAAGGUGAUCCUGGGAGCCAUCUCAGCAAUUGCCUCAGAAGCACCCCUGGUGUGGAUUUAAGUGGCUGCACACAAUCAAGUGCUCAAGAAGUGAGUAACUGGUAGGUUGAGCUUUAUGGUGGAAAAUGAGCAUGGAAGACGUUUGCCAGCAAGCACAUUUGAAAGGUGCAGAUGAUGUUACUUAAAGGUG
This is a long non-coding RNA of Polypterus senegalus (gray bichir), 633 nucleotides long. RefSeq lists it as uncharacterized. The transcript has 4 exons. The record is from RefSeq and is a predicted model, not a curated record. NCBI's taxonomy places the organism in Eukaryota, Metazoa, Chordata, Cladistia, Polypteriformes, Polypteridae.